AGAGUUUGAUCCUGGCUCAGGAUGAACGCUGGCGGCGUGCUUAACACAUGCAAGUCGAGCGAUGAAGUUUCCUUCGGGAAACGGAUUAGCGGCGGACGGGUGAGUAACACGUGGGUAACCUGCCUCAUAGAGUGGAAUAGCCUUCCGAAAGGAAGAUUAAUACCGCAUAACGUUGAAAGAUGGCAUCAUCAUUUAACCAAAGGAGCAAUCCGCUAUGAGAUGGACCCGCGGCGCAUUAGCUAGUUGGUGGGGUAACGGCCUACCAAGGCGACGAUGCGUAGCCGACCUGAGAGGGUGAUCGGCCACAUUGGGACUGAGACACGGCCCAGACUCCUACGGGAGGCAGCAGUGGGGAAUAUUGCACAAUGGGGGAAACCCUGAUGCAGCAACGCCGCGUGAGUGAUGAAGGUUUUCGGAUCGUAAAGCUCUAUCUUUGGGGAAGAUAAUGACGGUACCCAAGGAGGAAGCCACGGCUAACUACGUGCCAGCAGCCGCGGUAAUACGUAGGUGGCGAGCGUUAUCCGGAUUUACUGGACGUAAAGGGAGCGUAGGCGGAUGAUUAAGUGGGAUGUGAAAUACCCGGGCUCAACUUGGGUGCUGCAUUCCAAACUGGUUAUCUAGAGUGCAGGAGAGGAGAGUGGAAUUCCUAGUGUAGCGGUGAAAUGCGUAGAGAUUAGGAAGAACACCAGUGGCGAAGGCGACUCUCUGGACUGUAACUGACGCUGAGGCUCGAAAGCGUGGGGAGCAAACAGGAUUAGAUACCCUGGUAGUCCGCGCCGUAAACGAUGAAUACUAGGUGUGGGGGUUUCAACACCUCCGUGCCGCCGCUAACGCAUUAAGUAUUCCGCCUGGGGAGUACGGUCGCAAGAUUAAAACUCAAAGGAAUUGACGGGGACCCGCACAAGUAGCGGAGCAUGUGGUUUAAUUCGAAGCAACGCGAAGAACCUUACCUACACUUGACAUCCCUUGCAUUACUCUUAAUCGAGGAAAUCCCUUCGGGGACAAGGUGACAGGUGGUGCAUGGUUGUCGUCAGCUCGUGUCGUGAGAUGUUGGGUUAAGUCCCGCAACGAGCGCAACCCUUGUCGUUAGUUACUACCAUUAAGUUGAGGACUCUAGCGAGACUGCCUGGGUUAACCAGGAGGAAGGUGGGGAUGACGUCAAAUCAUCAUGCCCCUUAUGUGUAGGGCUACACACGUGCUACAAUGGCUGGUACAGAGAGAUGCAAUACCGCGAGGUGGAGCCAAACUUAAAAACCAGUCUCAGUUCGGAUUGUAGGCUGAAACUCGCCUACAUGAAGCUGGAGUUACUAGUAAUCGCGAAUCAGAAUGUCGCGGUGAAUACGUUCCCGGGUCUUGCACACACCGCCCGUCA
This 1372-nucleotide ribosomal RNA is filed under the name uncultured bacterium. RNAcentral describes it as "16S ribosomal RNA". It matches the Rfam family "Bacterial small subunit ribosomal RNA". The record is from RNAcentral.